Molecule: long non-coding RNA, 354 nt
Filed under: Bos taurus (domestic cattle)
Lineage: Eukaryota; Metazoa; Chordata; Mammalia; Artiodactyla; Bovidae
Description: long non-coding RNA NONBTAT011805
Source: RNAcentral
UGAGCAUUUGGGCAAUGAGUUUCGUCGUGGAGAAAAGAGAUCCAUUAAAUAUUUAGUCCCUUUGUCUCCAUCCUACCCUACCCAUAUCCUAUCCUCCAGGUAAUACUUUUAAUAUAAGAUAUUAAUAUGCCUGAAGCGUGAGGAAACAACCGAACACCUGUACUUGGCCUCCCUAAUAGAAUUUAAUUAAAUUUUCUAUAUCUGGUUCUAAGUGCUAGUCCUUUACUUGUAACAAAACCCACGUACUAACAACAUUCUCUCAUUUAAGAACUGCAGAAUCCAGCGUGAAUCAGAGAAAAAUCACGUUCUCCUUUGGCUCUGCUCAAAAUAAUGAAAUAGCAGCAAAACCCACAC